Molecule: ribosomal RNA, 431 nt
Filed under: Botrytis cinerea
Lineage: Eukaryota; Fungi; Ascomycota; Leotiomycetes; Helotiales; Sclerotiniaceae
Description: SSU rRNA
Rfam family: Eukaryotic small subunit ribosomal RNA
Source: RNAcentral
CAGCAGCCGCGGUAAUUCCAGCUCCAAUAGCGUAUAUUAAAGUUGUUGCAGUUAAAAAGCUCGUAGUUGAACCUUGGGCCUGGUUGGCCGGUCCGCCUCACCGCGUGCACUGGUCCGACCGGGUCUUUCCUUCUGGGGAGCCGCAUGCCCUUCACUGGGUGUGUCGGGGAACCAGGACUUUUACUUUGAAAAAAUUAGAGUGUUCAAAGCAGGCCUAUGCUCGAAUACAUUAGCAUGGAAUAAUAGAAUAGGACGUGUGGUUCUAUUUUGUUGGUUUCUAGGACCGCCGUAAUGAUUAAUAGGGAUAGUCGGGGGCAUCAGUAUUCAAUUGUCAGAGGUGAAAUUCUUGGAUUUAUUGAAGACUAACUACUGCGAAAGCAUUUGCCAAGGAUGUUUUCAUUAAUCAGUGAACGAAAGUUAGGGGAUCGAAG